GUGCUCGCUUCAGCAGCACAUAUACUCAAAUUGGAACAAUACAGAGAUUAGCGUGGCCUCUGCACAAGGAUGACUCGCAAACUUGUGAAGCGUUCCAUAUUAAA
This is a small nuclear RNA of Suncus etruscus (white-toothed pygmy shrew), 104 nucleotides long. The record is from RefSeq and is a predicted model, not a curated record. NCBI's taxonomy places the organism in Eukaryota, Metazoa, Chordata, Mammalia, Eulipotyphla, Soricidae.